UACAGAGGUCCCAAGCGUUGUUCGGAUUCACUGGGCGUAAAGGGUGCGUAGGCGGUCGGGUAAGUCUGAUGUGAAAUCUCCAAGCUUAACUUGGAAAUGGCAUCGGAUACUAUUCGGCUCGAGGAAUGGAGGGGAGACUGGAAUACUUGGUGUAGCAGUGAAAUGCGUAGAUAUCAAGUGGAACACCAGUGGCGAAGGCGGUUCUCUGGGCCUUACCUGACGCUGAGACGCGAAAGCGUGGGGAGCGAACCGG
Molecule: ribosomal RNA, 253 nt
Filed under: uncultured bacterium
Lineage: Bacteria
Description: partial 16S ribosomal RNA
Rfam family: Bacterial small subunit ribosomal RNA
Source: RNAcentral